Eriocheir sinensis (Chinese mitten crab) is the source of this 1668-nucleotide long non-coding RNA. RefSeq lists it as uncharacterized. The record is from RefSeq and is a predicted model, not a curated record. Lineage: Eukaryota; Metazoa; Arthropoda; Malacostraca; Decapoda; Varunidae. The transcript is spliced from 4 exons.
CCUCCUCCUCUUCCUCUCCACUUCACCGCCUACUUUCCUUCCUCUUCCUCCUCCUCAAAGACUCUUAAGAAGGAGGAGGAGGAGGAGGAGGUGACAAACAAGUUACUGAUAAAUGUACAACUCUUGCAGUCUCUUUCAACAUUGUUCUAACCUCUCCCUUCCCUUCGCUUCCCUUCCCUUCCCUUCCCUUCCCUUUCCUUUCCUUCGAUUCCAUUCGCUAUCAAACUCCCUUCAUCCCUUCAGUUCCUUUCAUUCACCUUAUUUAAGCCGUUUGUCUAUUUAUAAACUAAUGUAUUAUGUUGGGUUUGAUAAGUUUAUGAUACGUUAGGAAGGGUUAGGAUAGGUUAGAUUAGGUUAGGAUAGUUUAGGUUAGGAUAGGUUAGGUUAGGUUAAGUAAUGACAGAUCAGGUUAAGUUAGGUUAGGUCAGGUUAGGCUAGGUUAGGAUAGGUUAGAUUAGGUAUAGAUAGUUUAGGUUAGGAUAGGUUAGGAUAGGAUAGGUUAGGUAAUGAUAGAUCAGGUUAAGUUAGGUUAGGUCAGGUUAGUUUAGGUUAGGUCAGGUCAGCUCAGGUCAGGUUAGGUCAAGUUAUGUUAUAAAAUGCUAGAUCAGGUUAGGUUAGAAUAGGUUAGUAUUAGAUUAUCUUAAGGUAGAUCAGAUUAGUAUAGGUUAUAUUAGGUCUGGUCUGGUUUAGUCAGGUCAGGUUAGGUCAGGUCAGUUCAGAACUACAAGGCUACUUUCUGUACUCACCGUUCUUCUUUUUCUUCUAUAGACAAGUUAGGUCAGGUCAGGUCAGGUCAGUUCAGGUCAAAAUAACAGUUCAAGGGUCCAUGUACUCAUCGUUUUUCUUGUUCUUUCUAAAGACAAGUUAGAUCAGGUCAGGUCAGGUCAGGUUAGCACUCAAGGGUCAUGUACUCACCGUUCUUCUCGUUCUUUCUAUAGACAAGUUAGGUCAGGUCAGGUCAGGUCAGUUCAGGACGAUAACAAUUCAGGAGUCCAUGUACUCACCGUUCCUUUUGUUCUUUCAAUAGACAAGUUAGGUCAGUUCAGGUCAGGUCAGUUCAGGUCAGGUCAGGUCAGGUCAGGUCAGGUCAGGUCAGGUCAAGAUAACAAUUCAAGGGCCCAUGUACUCACCGUUCCUUUUGUUCUUUCAAUAGACAAGUUAGGUCAGUUCAGGUCAGGUCAGGUCAGGUCAGGUCAGGUCAGGUCAGGUCAGGUCAGGUCAAGAUAACAAUUCAAGGGCCCAUGUACUCACCGUUCUUCUUGUUCUUCUUCGGACUGUCGCUCCCGAGACUGCUUCGUCCACAUCCCAUGGCGAGCACCCAACCAUCGUUCUGCGCCCCGACUCCUCCUCCUCCUCCUCAGGGCGUCUUCCUCCUCCUCCGCCUCCUCCUCCUCCUCCUCGUCCGGGCGUCUUCCUACUCCUCCUCCUCUUCCACCGGCGUCUCCCUGUGCUUACUCCCUGGUCUGUUCUUCACGCCAUUUUGCUCCCUGACUUAUAAGGGUGAGAACGGGAAGGGAGAAGGGAGAGGAGGAAGAUGAGGGAGAGAAUGGGAAGGAGGAAAGCAGGGUGAAGAGGAAGGGAGGAUGAGGGAGAUGAUGGGAAGAGGAAGGGAGAAAGUUAGGGAGAGAAUGAGGGAGGAUAUGAAGGAAGAGGGAGAGGAAGAAUGAG